CUACGGGCGGCUCCAGUGAGGAAUAUUGCACAAUGGGGGGAACCCUGAUGCAGCAACGCCGCGUGGAGGAUGACGCAUUUCGGUGUGUAAACUCCUUUUAUAUGUCAAGAAAAUGACGGUAGCAUAUGAAUAAGCACCGGCUAACUCCGUGCCAGCAGCCGCGGUAAUACGGAGGGUGCAAGCGUUACUCGGAAUCACUGGGCGUAAAGGACGCGUAGGCGGGUUGGAAAGUCAGGUGUGAAAUCCUACAGCUUAACUGUAGGACUGCACUUGAAACUUCUAAUCUAGAGUAUGGGAGGGGGAGGUGGAAUUAGUGGUGUAGGGGUAAAAUCCGUAGAUAUCACUAGGAAUACCUAAAGCGAAGGCGAUCUCCUGGAACAUUACUGACGCUAAGGCGUGAAAGCGUGGGGAGCAAACAGGAUUAGAUACCCGAGUAGUC
This 439-nucleotide ribosomal RNA is filed under the name uncultured bacterium. Its description in RNAcentral is "partial 16S ribosomal RNA". It matches the Rfam family "Bacterial small subunit ribosomal RNA", at positions 339 to 795 of the family's 1533-position model. The record is from RNAcentral.